Molecule: ribosomal RNA, 496 nt
Filed under: uncultured bacterium
Lineage: Bacteria
Description: partial 16S ribosomal RNA
Rfam family: Bacterial small subunit ribosomal RNA
Source: RNAcentral
GAUGAACGCUGGCGGCGUGCCUAAUACAUGCAAGUCGAGCGAACGGACGAGAAGCUUGCUUCUCUGAUGUUAGCGGCGGACGGGUGAGUAACACGUGGAUAACCUACCUAUAAGACUGGGAUAACUUCGGGAAACCGGAGCUAAUACCGGAUAAUAUUUUGAACCGCAUGGUUCAAAAGUGAAAGACGGUCUUGCUGUCACUUAUAGAUGGAUCCGCGCUGCAUUAGCUAGUUGGUAAGGUAACGGCUUACCAAGGCAACGAUGCAUAGCCGACCUGAGAGGGUGAUCGGCCACACUGGAACUGAGACACGGUCCAGACUCCUACGGGAGGCAACAGUAGGGAAUCUUCCGCAAUGGGCGAAAGCCUGACGGAGCAACGCCGCGUGAGUGAUGAAGGUCUUCGGAUCGUAAAACUCUGUUAUUAGGGAAGAACAUAUGUGUAAGUAACUGUGCACAUCUUGACGGUACCUAAGCAGAAAGCCACGGCUAACUACGU